Molecule: non-coding RNA, 126 nt
Organism: Triticum aestivum (bread wheat)
Lineage: Eukaryota; Viridiplantae; Streptophyta; Magnoliopsida; Poales; Poaceae
Source: Rfam
UAAAUACUCCCUCCGUCCGGAAAUACUUGUCCAAGGAAUGGAUGUAUCUAGAUCUAUUUUAGUUCUGGAUACACCCAUUUGUAUCCAUUUCUAUGACAAGUAUUUCUAUGACGGAGGGAGUACCAU